GUGCUUGCUUUGGCAGCCCAUACACUAAAAAUUAGAACAAUACAAAGAGUAAGCAUGGCCCCUGUGCAAGAAUGACACGUAAAAUGGAAAUGUUAUAGUAAUAAUA
Small nuclear RNA from Suricata suricatta (meerkat), 106 nucleotides. NCBI's taxonomy places the organism in Eukaryota, Metazoa, Chordata, Mammalia, Carnivora, Herpestidae. The record is from Ensembl.